RNAcentral lists this long non-coding RNA (1273 nucleotides) under Numida meleagris (helmeted guineafowl). RNAcentral's name for it is "lncRNA (ENSNMEG00000005237.1)". Lineage: Eukaryota; Metazoa; Chordata; Aves; Galliformes; Numididae. The record is from RNAcentral.
CUGGCAGGGAAAUCUUUAGCAGUUUGACAAUAUGAUUUUAUAUUUGUGUUUCUGUGACAGUUCUGAUUCUAGAGUUCUACUGAAUCACUGACAACCAUGGCAACAUGAUGGGAAAAGAGACAAAAGAACCAUGCUGUUGAAGCUGUGAAGAAGAGACUGCUGUUGCUUGAGUUGAUUAUAGCUGAAGAGGGACACAACUCUCCAGUCAGCACCUUGAGAGAAAGUGAAUGGGCAGUGGAUCCCAAGAAGAUCAAAGGUGUCAUCUUCAAAACAGGAGAUUAACAACAUAUCAAGAAUUCUAAGGAUAAAAGCUACCUAGAUUAAGUGGAGUACAAAAGUGUACCACUGUUAAUGGUAAAAACACAGGAAAACUCUUCCCUUGUCAGGCGACAUAAUGCACAUCAUCAUCAUAUCAGAUGUAGCAGAACCGACUCAGACAGCACAUUUACUCCUCUGAAUAGUGGCUAUUGACCUCAUACCAACACUACAGUGGAACCGCAGGACAUCCUCUUUUGACACCUAAUACUGACUCCAAAUGAAGGUGAACUAGAAGUCUGGAUGGGAGAAUCUGGAAGAGAUAAAUUUCCUCCUUUUCAAUGACGAUGUAGUAAAAUUAAGCUUUUUGAAAAUAAGUUAACUCUUUGUGACAAUGUCUGAAUCCAUACUUGCUCUGUCUUUUACACCAGAAAAGGAUUACUAAACUACACUUGUCAAUAUGUGCAAGAAUCAGGGAAACAUUAUAUUCAUUAAUGUUUUCAUAGUCUCUGUAUAAGACACAUCACCACAGAUUUGAGUCCUUUCGGAAACUGUUCAAGUAUCCACAGUAAAAUAUUCUUAACAUAAGUAUUAUUGGGAUGAAAAGUGCUACCUGAAUUGAAGGAGCACAUCUUCAGAAUGCAAAGGUAGAUAUAAAUAAGACAAUAUGAAGAUAUUUAAAUACUGGCAAAUUGUGUCGUAGUUCUUAUUUUUCAUGUUCUCAUUUUUAGAUUCUCACUUAAAUUGUCUUUCAAUUAUUGUUAUUCCUCAUCUCAGUGGAGAGAAUCCUAUUCACAAAUACAACUUAAAUUAUUAUUGCUUACCAGAUUUUUAGACAGGUAUUUAUGCAUGUAUAAACAUAUAUGUGAGUCAAUUUCCCCACAGAGUUAAGACGUCCUCCAUACACAUGUUCAGAUCUUCACUACAGUUCGUCAGAACUCCAAUUAAAAUUCUGUUUAUUUAUUUAUAUUUCAUUUUUAUUUUUAUUUUAUGUUAUCUUCAAAGCAUCUGACAAUGA